AAUUGGGGAGAGUUUCAAAGAGCAGUGAGAUUUCUAAAGCAAUUUCUGUAUUAGGGAAAAAGAACAGAACUCAGGAAUGGCUGAAUGUUUUUGAAGAGAGACACCUUCAUAAAGGAAGGCUGUGCCCAGAUUGAGGCUCAAGUGGAAAACUGCUGAGUUUUAUCUUGGCUUGGACUUUGAUGUCUUGGAAUAGAUGAGAUUUUUUUUCUUCUAAUUUAGCUAAAGGAUCAAGUCACUUCUGCUACUAAACUGUGUAGGAAGAUUGGUUGUCUCAACUUGUGUGACAGGAAAGUGAGGCAGUGGUUAAUCUGGAGCCAGCUCAGUGGUAAUUUGGACUCUGAGAUGACAGCGAGUUGAGAAAUUAUUUGAGAUUCCAUGUGGAAAGAAGCAAUAGAUGCCCAGUACAGUUUUCAGAUUGUAGAUAAGGACAGCAUCCACAUUACUAACGAGGACAUUCAACUGCAAUGCAUUUUCCCAGCCACUCCCAUU
Pelodiscus sinensis (Chinese soft-shelled turtle) is the source of this 489-nucleotide long non-coding RNA. RefSeq lists it as uncharacterized. Lineage: Eukaryota; Metazoa; Chordata; Testudines; Trionychidae. The record is from RefSeq and is a predicted model, not a curated record.